This 497-nucleotide ribosomal RNA is filed under the name uncultured bacterium. RNAcentral describes it as "partial 16S ribosomal RNA". It matches the Rfam family "Bacterial small subunit ribosomal RNA", at positions 28 to 507 of the family's 1533-position model. The record is from RNAcentral.
GACGAACGCUGGCGGCGUGCCUAAUACAUGCAAGUCGAGCGAACAGACGAGGAGCUUGCUCCUCUGACGUUAGCGGCGGACGGGUGAGUAACACGUGGAUAACCUACCUAUAAGACUGGGAUAACUUCGGGAAACCGGAGCUAAUCCCGGAUAAUAUAUUGAACCGCAUGGUUCAAUAGUGAAAGACGGUUUUGCUGUCACUUAUAGAUGGAUCCGCGCCGCAUUAGCUAGUUGGUAAGGUAACGGCUUACCAAGGCAACGAUGCGUAGCCGACCUGAGAGGGUGAUCGGCCACACGGGAACGGAGACACGGUCCAGACUCCUACGGGAGGCAGCAGUAGGGAAUCUUCCGCAAUGGGCGAAAGCCUGACGGAGCAACGCCGCGUGAGUGAUGAAGGUCUUCGGAUCGUAAAACUCUGUUAUUAGGGAAGAACAAAUGUGUAAGUAACUAUGCACGUCUUGACGGUACCUAAUCAGAAAGCCACGGCUAACUACGUG